This 934-nucleotide ribosomal RNA is filed under the name Bacillus sp. CUA-821. RNAcentral's name for it is "bacterial SSU rRNA". It matches the Rfam family "Bacterial small subunit ribosomal RNA", at positions 71 to 987 of the family's 1533-position model. Lineage: Bacteria; Bacillati; Bacillota; Bacilli; Caryophanales; Bacillaceae. The record is from RNAcentral.
GAAGGGAGCUUGCUCCCGGAUGUUAGCGGCGGACGGGUGAGUAACACGUGGGUAACCUGCCUGUAAGACUGGGAUAACUCCGGGAAACCGGAGCUAAUACCGGAUAGUUCCUUGAACCGCAUGGUUCAAGGAUGAAAGACGGUUUCGGCUGUCACUUACAGAUGGACCCGCGGCGCAUUAGCUAGUUGGUGGGGUAAUGGCUCACCAAGGCGACGAUGCGUAGCCGACCUGAGAGGGUGAUCGGCCACACUGGGACUGAGACACGGCCCAGACUCCUACGGGAGGCAGCAGUAGGGAAUCUUCCGCAAUGGACGAAAGUCUGACGGAGCAACGCCGCGUGAGUGAUGAAGGUUUUCGGAUCGUAAAGCUCUGUUGUUAGGGAAGAACAAGUGCGAGAGUAACUGCUCGCACCUUGACGGUACCUAACCAGAAAGCCACGGCUAACUACGUGCCAGCAGCCGCGGUAAUACGUAGGUGGCAAGCGUUGUCCGGAAUUAUUGGGCGUAAAGGGCUCGCAGGCGGUUUCUUAAGUCUGAUGUGAAAGCCCCCGGCUCAACCGGGGAGGGUCAUUGGAAACUGGGAAACUUGAGUGCAGAAGAGGAGAGUGGAAUUCCACGUGUAGCGGUGAAAUGCGUAGAGAUGUGGAGGAACACCAGUGGCGAAGGCGACUCUCUGGUCUGUAACUGACGCUGAGGAGCGAAAGCGUGGGGAGCGAACAGGAUUAGAUACCCUGGUAGUCCACGCCGUAAACGAUGAGUGCUAAGUGUUAGGGGGUUUCCGCCCCUUAGUGCUGCAGCUAACGCAUUAAGCACUCCGCCUGGGGAGUACGGUCGCAAGACUGAAACUCAAAGGAAUUGACGGGGGGCCCGCACAAGCGGUGGAGCAUGUGGGUUUAAUUCGAAGCAACGCGAAGAACCUUACCAGGUCUUGACAU